UACGUAGGGCGCAAGCGUUGUCCGGAAUUAUUGGGCGUAAAGAGCUCGUAGGCGGUCUGUUGCGUCCGCUGUGAAAACCCAGGGCUUAACCCUGGGCUUGCAGUGGAUACGGGCAGACUAGAGGUAGGUAGGGGAGAAUGGAAUUCCCGGUGUAGCGGUGAAAUGCGCAGAUAUCGGGAGGAACACCGGUGGCGAAGGCGGUUCUCUGGGCCUUACCUGACGCUGAGGAGCGAAAGCGUGGGGAGCGAACAGG
RNAcentral lists this ribosomal RNA (253 nucleotides) under uncultured bacterium. RNAcentral's name for it is "partial 16S ribosomal RNA". It matches the Rfam family "Bacterial small subunit ribosomal RNA", at positions 524 to 776 of the family's 1533-position model. The record is from RNAcentral.